CGAGCGUUAAUCGGAAUUACUGGGCGUAAAGCGCAUGCAGGUGGUUUGUUAAGUCAGAUGUGAAAGCCCGGGGCUCAACCUCGGAAUUGCAUUUGAAACUGGCAGACUAGAGUACUGUAGAGGGGGUAGAAUUUCAGGUGUAGCGGUGAAAUGCGUAGAGAUCUGAAGGAAUACCAGUGGCGAAGGCGGCCCCCUGGACAAAGACUGACGCUCAGAUGCGAAAGCGUGGGGAGCAAACAGGAUUAGAUACCCUGGUAG
RNAcentral lists this ribosomal RNA (258 nucleotides) under uncultured bacterium. RNAcentral's name for it is "partial 16S ribosomal RNA". It matches the Rfam family "Bacterial small subunit ribosomal RNA", at positions 535 to 793 of the family's 1533-position model. The record is from RNAcentral.